GGGGGCACCCUGACCGAGCAACGCCGCGUGAGUGAAGAAGGUUUUCGGAUCGUAAAGCUCUGUUGUAAGUCAAGAACGAGUGUGAGAGUGGAAAGUUCACACUGUGACGGUAGCUUACCAGAAAGGGACGGCUAACUACGUGCCAGCAGCCGCGGUAAUACGUAGGUCCCGAGCGUUGUCCGGAUUUAUUGGGCGUAAAGCGAGCGCAGGCGGUUUGAUAAGUCUGAAGUUAAAGGCUGUGGCUCAACCAUAGUUCGCUUUGGAAACUGUCAAACUUGAGUGCAGAAGGGGAGAGUGGAAUUCCAUGUGUAGCGGUGAAAUGCGUAGAUAUAUGGAGGAACACCGGUGGCGAAAGCGGCUCUCUGGUCUGUAACUGACGCUGAGGCUCGAAAGCGUGGGGAGCGAACAGGAUUAGAUACCCUGGUAGUGCACGCCGUAAACGAUGAGUGCUAGGUGUUGGAUCCUUUCCGGGAUUCAGUGCCGCAGCUAACGCAUUAAGCACUCCGCCUGGGGAGUACGACCGCAAGGUUGAAACUCAAAGGAAUUGACGGGGGCCCGCACAAGCGGUGGAGCAUGUGGUUUAAUUCGAAGCAACGCGAAGAACCUUACCAGGUCUUGACAUCCCGAUGCUAUUCCUAGAGAUAGAAAGUUACUUCGGUACAUCCGUGUCAGGUGGUGCAUGGUUGUCGUCAGCUCGUGUC
Molecule: ribosomal RNA, 701 nt
Filed under: Streptococcus salivarius
Lineage: Bacteria; Bacillati; Bacillota; Bacilli; Lactobacillales; Streptococcaceae
Description: bacterial SSU rRNA
Rfam family: Bacterial small subunit ribosomal RNA
Source: RNAcentral